This is a microRNA precursor of Gossypium arboreum, 128 nucleotides long. It matches the Rfam family "MIR7502 microRNA precursor family". The record is from Rfam. Lineage: Eukaryota; Viridiplantae; Streptophyta; Magnoliopsida; Malvales; Malvaceae.
UGUUAAAAUUUUUAUCUAUUUUUACUAUUAAAACCUGACGUGACUGACAGAAAUACUGGGAAGUUAAACGUGGCAUUCUGACAUACAAGACCAGUUUUUAAUAGUAAAAAUGAAUGAAUUUUUUUACA